GAUGAAGAACGUAGCGAAAUGCGAAAAGUAGUGUGAAUUGCAGAAUUCAGUGAAUCAUCGAAUCUUUGAACGCACAUUGCGCCCCUCGGUAUUCCGUGGGGCACGCCUGUUCGAGCGUCAUUUACACCCUCAAGCGCAGCUUGGUGUUGGGCGUCUGUCCCGCUCUCCGUAGCGCGGACUCGCCUCAAAGUCAUUGGCGGCGGUCGUGCCGGCUCCUCGCGCAGCACAUUUGCGCUUCUCGGAGGCCCGGCGGAUCGGCAUCCAGCAAGCUACUUUUUAUGACUUGACCUCGGAUCAGGUGAGGAUACCCGCUGAACUUAAGCAUAUCAAUAAGCGGAGGA
RNAcentral lists this unclassified non-coding RNA (341 nucleotides) under soil metagenome. RNAcentral's name for it is "partial contains 5.8S ribosomal RNA, internal transcribed spacer 2, and large subunit ribosomal RNA". The stretch from base 1 to 120 matches the Rfam family "5.8S ribosomal RNA", at positions 35 to 154 of the family's 154-position model. The record is from RNAcentral.